GUAGGGUGCAAGCGUUGUCCGGAAUUACUGGGCGUAAAGAGUUCGUAGGCGGUUUGUCGCGUCGUUUGUGAAAACUCACAGCUCAACUGUGAGCUUGCAGGCGAUACGGGCAGACUUGAGUACUGCAGGGGAGACUGGAAUUCCUGGUGUAGCGGUGAAAUGCGCAGAUAUCAGGAGGAACACCGGUGGCGAAGGCGGGUCUCUGGGCAGUAACUGACGCUGAGGAACGAAAGCGUGGGUAGCGAACAGGAUUAGAUACCCUGGUAGUCCACGCCGUAAACGGUGGGCGCUAGGUGUGGGUUCCUUCCACGGAAUCUGUGCCGUAGCUAACGCAUUAAGCGCCCCGCCUGGGGAGUACGGCCGCAAGGCUA
This 371-nucleotide ribosomal RNA is filed under the name uncultured bacterium. Its description in RNAcentral is "bacterial SSU rRNA". It matches the Rfam family "Bacterial small subunit ribosomal RNA", at positions 527 to 896 of the family's 1533-position model. The record is from RNAcentral.